RNAcentral lists this ribosomal RNA (301 nucleotides) under uncultured bacterium. RNAcentral describes it as "partial 16S ribosomal RNA". It matches the Rfam family "Bacterial small subunit ribosomal RNA", at positions 509 to 809 of the family's 1533-position model. The record is from RNAcentral.
CAGCCGCCACGGGAAUACGGAGGGUGCAAGCGUUAAUCGGAAUUACUGGGCGUAAAGCGUGCGUAGGCGGUUCGUUAAGUCUGUUGUGAAAGCCCCGGGCUCAACCUGGGAAUGGCAAUGGAUACUGGCGAGCUAGAGUGUGUCAGAGGAUGGUGGAAUUCCCGGUGUGGCGGUGAAAUGCGUAGAGAUCGGGAGGAACAUCAGUGGCGAAGGCGGCCAUCUGGGACAACACUGACGCUGAGGCACGAAAGCGUGGGGAGCAAACAGGAUUAGAUACCCCGGUAGUCCCUGUCUCUUAUAU